AAACUUUCAACAACGGAUCUCUUGGUUCCGGCAUCGAUGAAGAACGCAGCGAAAUGCGAUAACUAAUGUGAAUUGCAGAAUUCAGUGAAUCAUCGAGUCUUUGAACGCACAUUGCGCCCCCUGGUAUUCCGGAGGGCAUGCCUGUCCGAGCGUCAUU
This 157-nucleotide ribosomal RNA is filed under the name Penicillium sp. 9A_co2. RNAcentral describes it as "5.8S ribosomal RNA". It matches the Rfam family "5.8S ribosomal RNA". Rfam says of the family: 5.8S ribosomal RNA (5.8S rRNA) is a component of the large subunit of the eukaryotic ribosome. It is transcribed by RNA polymerase I as part of the 45S precursor that also contains 18S and 28S rRNA. Lineage: Eukaryota; Fungi; Ascomycota; Eurotiomycetes; Eurotiales; Aspergillaceae. The record is from RNAcentral.